CGAGUCGUAAGUAAACGUACUGACAUGUUUCACGACAUUAUACGACACGACAGUGGUUGUACGUCUAGUUACUUCGUUAUUCCACGAAUGUUUUAGCGUUACUAUUUGUUGUAACUCCAGCUACUUGCCUAUGCUGCGAAUCUUUUAGUGUAACGGUUUGGUGUAAAUAUAAUCACGUAGUUUUUUCCAAGCAAGCGUGCAUAUCUUUGUGUGGAAGUAAAAAACCCAAGGAUUAUACGUAUGCUCAACUUCGACAAAAUCGAAGAUGGUUUACACAGAAGCAGAUCCUACCUACCUACCUACCUGACGACCUACUUGACAUUCCACUAAUACUGCAACCCAAUCCAGUACAACCCAGUGGAAGAAUGACCAGAAAUGCAAAAAUAUUUCAAGAAACUAUGGGAUAUCUUCUCGUCGUAGUCAACAUGAGACACAUUCUCUUGAAGGUUCUACCGAAAAGCAAAGAGGGGGUGAUCGGAAAGGAGCAAAAUGUUCAAGAAAACACUUAAUGACUAACUGUAAUAACUGAAAAUGAAGGUUUUUCUAAUAAAGGCAAGUGCCAUACCGUAUUAAUAUAUUUUGUGAUUAUGCAUGUAUUAAUUAAUAAACGUUUUAAAAUUAAAA
Pectinophora gossypiella (pink bollworm) is the source of this 624-nucleotide RNA transcript. RefSeq lists it as uncharacterized. The record is from RefSeq and is a predicted model, not a curated record. Lineage: Eukaryota; Metazoa; Arthropoda; Insecta; Lepidoptera; Gelechiidae. The transcript has 5 exons.